UUUCCAUGAAUACCUUUCAAGUUAGUCGUUGAUUUUAGUCCUCUGCUUCAGAUGUCGCCACAACAUGCCAUGGCCUCUUCCCCGAUUGGAAAUGUUGAUUGAGAAAAUGUUUCUAUGAAGCUCCUCUGGAUUGUAGUGCUCCACCUCCUGAGUCCACCAAAAGAAAAGCAUUGGCCUUUAAGUCAUGGGUAGUAUUGUGCUCAGUCCACUUCUGUUCACUGCACUAGUCCUCAAAUUUGCUCCUGUAAUGUCCCACCGCAGUCCUAAUUGACGUCUAAGGUGUCUAGACUGUAUUCAGUUUUUCUUUGUACCCUUACACAUAAGUGGUGAGUUACAGACUCAAAUAGGGUUGCAUGCAUUUUACUGUGGUUUUUGUCAAAUGUUAGUUGCUGGGCUUAAUCCACCUCUUAAUCUUUUUCUUUAGACUGAACUGACCGUCGGAAGCUUCAGUGGAUCUCCUCACAGCUGAAAUAUCCGGCUAUAGAUGGCACUGCCUGAUGCAGAUCCAGUUAUCUGGUCCAACGUGCAGCAGCGACGGUUAAGCUGCAAGCGGUGGCUGCAUGGGUGGAGCCUGCCAGGAUCCUGCCAACUGAAUGUUUGGGGCCAUUAAGGCUAGCUUGCCUAAACAUUUUUUUAAAUGUAAUGGCCUCUGUUCAAAGGUCAUUGAGAUGAGAACAGGGCUUGUCUUAAUGUAGAAAAGAGUCCUAAGCAAAGUGGUACAAUUUCUUUUGAUUUGUUUAAAUAAUCUCCAUCCUGCUUAUUUUUGUAUUGCAAAUUCAAAAAUAAAGUCACGGCAAUCAAA
Molecule: long non-coding RNA, 802 nt
Organism: Cottoperca gobio
Lineage: Eukaryota; Metazoa; Chordata; Actinopteri; Perciformes; Bovichtidae
Exons: 2
Source: RefSeq, a predicted model, not a curated record